ACAGGGGGAUAACAGUCAGAAAUGACUGCUAAUACCGCAUAAGACCACAGCACCGCAUGGUGCAGGGGUAAAAACUCCGGUGGUACAGGAUGGACCCGCGUCUGAUUAGCUGGUUGGUGAGGUAACGGCUCACCAAGGCGACGAUCAGUAGCCGGCUUGAGAGAGUGAACGGCCACAUUGGGACUGAGACACGGCCCAAACUCCUACGGGAGGCAGCAGUGGGGAAUAUUGCACAAUGGGGGAAACCCUGAUGCAGCGACGCCGCGUGAGUGAAGAAGUAUCUCGGUAUGUAAAGCUCUAUCAGCAGGGAAGAAAAUGACGGUACCUGACUAAGAAGCCCCGGCUAACUACGUGCCAGCAGCCGCGGUAAUACGUAGGGGGCAAGCGUUAUCCGGAAUUACUGGGUGUAAAGGGUGCGUAGGUGGUAUGGCAAGUCAGAAGUGAAAACCCAGGGCUUAACUCUGGGACUGCUUUUGAAACUGUCAGACUAGAGUGCAGGAGAGGUAAGCGGAAUUCCUAGUGUAGCGGUGAAAUGCGUAGAUAUUAGGAGGAACAUCAGUGGCGAAGGCGGCUUACUGGACUGAAACUGACACUGAGGCACGAAAGCGUGGGGAGCAAACAGGAUUAGAUACCCUGGUAGUCCACGCCGUAAACGA
Molecule: ribosomal RNA, 656 nt
Filed under: uncultured bacterium
Lineage: Bacteria
Description: bacterial SSU rRNA
Rfam family: Bacterial small subunit ribosomal RNA
Source: RNAcentral